This 1346-nucleotide ribosomal RNA is filed under the name uncultured bacterium. RNAcentral describes it as "bacterial SSU rRNA". It matches the Rfam family "Bacterial small subunit ribosomal RNA", at positions 28 to 1381 of the family's 1533-position model. The record is from RNAcentral.
GACGAACGCUGGCGGCGUGCUUAACACAUGCAAGUCGAACGGAAAGGCCCUGCUUUUGUGGGGUGCUCGAGUGGCGAACGGGUGAGUAACACGUGAGUAACCUGCCCUUGACUUUGGGAUAACUUCAGGAAACUGGGGCUAAUACCGGAUAGGAGCUCCUGCUGCAUGGUGGGGGUUGGAAAGUUUCGGCGGUUGGGGAUGGACUCGCGGCUUAUCAGCUUGUUGGUGGGGUAGUGGCUUACCAAGGCUUUGACGGGUAGCCGGCCUGAGAGGGUGACUGGCCACAUUGGGACUGAGAUACGGCCCAGACUCCUACGGGAGGCAGCAGUGGGGAAUAUUGCACAAUGGGCGGAAGCCUGAUGCAGCAACGCCGCGUGCGGGAUGACGGCCUUCGGGUUGUAAACCGCUUUCGCCUGUGACGAAGCGUGAGUGACGGUAAUGGGUAAAGAAGCACCGGCUAACUACGUGCCAGCAGCCGCGGUGAUACGUAGGGUGCGAGCGUUGUCCGGAUUUAUUGGGCGUAAAGGGCUCGUAGGUGGUUGAUCGCGUCGGAAGUGUAAUCUUGGGGCUUAACCCUGAGCGUGCUUUCGAUACGGGUUGACUUGAGGAAGGUAGGGGAGAAUGGAAUUCCUGGUGGAGCGGUGGAAUGCGCAGAUAUCAGGAGGAACACCAGUGGCGAAGGCGGUUCUCUGGGCCUUUCCUGACGCUGAGGAGCGAAAGCGUGGGGAGCGAACAGGCUUAGAUACCCUGGUAGUCCACGCUGUAAACGGUGGGUACUAGGUGUGGGGUCCAUUCCACGGGUUCCGUGCCGUAGCUAACGCUUUAAGUACCCCGCCUGGGGAGUACGGCCGCAAGGCUAAAACUCAAAGGAAUUGACGGGGCCCCGCACAAGCGGCGGAGCAUGCGGAUUAAUUCGAUGCAACGCGUAGAACCUUACCUGGGUUUGACAUGGAUCGGGAGCGCUCAGAGAUGGGUGUGCCUCUUUUGGGGUCGGUUCACAGGUGGUGCAUGGCUGUCGUCAGCUCGUGUCGUGAGAUGUUGGGUUAAGUCCCGCAACGAGCGCAACCCUUGUUCACUGUUGCCAGCACGUUAUGGUGGGGACUCAGUGGAGACCGCCGGGGUCAACUCGGAGGAAGGUGGGGAUGACGUCAAGUCAUCAUGCCCCUUAUGUCCAGGGCUUCACGCAUGCUACAAUGGCUGGUACAGAGAGUGGCGAGCCUGUGAGGGUGAGCGAAUCUCGGAAAGCCGGUCUCAGUUCGGAUUGGGGUCUGCAACUCGACCUCAUGAAGUCGGAGUCGCUAGUAAUCGCAGAUCAGCAACGCUGCGGUGAAUACGUUCCCGGGGCU